GUUUGAAUAGUUUAAUUAAAAUGUUAUUUUGUGGAAAUAAAAGAUGUGUUUAGCUUUGAGUG
This 62-nucleotide transfer RNA is filed under the name Pseudocellus gertschi. RNAcentral's name for it is "tRNA-His". Lineage: Eukaryota; Metazoa; Arthropoda; Arachnida; Ricinulei; Ricinoididae. The record is from RNAcentral.